UACGUAGGGUGCGAGCGUUAAUCGGAUUUACUGGGUGUAAAGGGCGCGUAGGCGGAUCUGUAAGUCAGAGGUGAAAUCCUGCGGCUUAACCGUAGAACUGCCUUUGAUACUGCAGAUCUUGAGUUCGAAAGAGAGUAGCGGAAUUCCAGGUGUAGUGGUGAAAUACGUAGAUAUCUGGAAGAACACCAGUGGCGAAGGCGGCUACCUGGACCAACACUGACACUGAGGUGCGAAAGCGUGGGGAGCAAACAGG
Molecule: ribosomal RNA, 253 nt
Filed under: uncultured microorganism
Description: partial 16S ribosomal RNA
Rfam family: Bacterial small subunit ribosomal RNA
Source: RNAcentral